UCGAGUGGCGAACGGGUGAGUAACACGUGGGCAAUCUGCCCUGCACACCGGGAUAAGCCUGGGAAACUGGGUCUAAUACCGGAUAGGACCACUUGGCGCAUGCCUUGUGGUGGAAAGCUUUUGCGGUGUGGGAUGGGCCCGCGGCCUAUCAGCUUGUUGGUGGGGUGACGGCCUACCAAGGCGACGACGGGUAGCCGGCCUGAGAGGGUGUCCGGCCACACUGGGACUGAGAUACGGCCCAGACUCCUACGGGAGGCAGCAGUGGGGAAUAUUGCACAAUGGGCGCAAGCCUGAUGCAGCGACGCCGCGUGGGGGAUGACGGCCUUCGGGUUGUAAACCUCUUUCACCAUCGACGAAGGUCCGGGUUUUCUCGGAUUGACGGUAGGUGGAGAAGAAGCACCGGCCAACUACGUGCCAGCAGCCGCGGUAAUACGUAGGGUGCGAGCGUUGUCCGGAAUUACUGGGCGUAAAGAGCUCGUAGGUGGUUUGUCGCGUUGUUCGUGAAAUCUCACGGCUUAACUGUGAGCGUGCGGGCGAUACGGGCAGACUAGAGUACUGCAGGGGAGACUGGAAUUCCUGGUGUAGCGGUGGAAUGCGCAGAUAUCAGGAGGAACACCGGUGGCGAAGGCGGGUCUCUGGGCAGUAACUGACGCUGAGGAGCGAAAGCGUGGGGAGCGAACAGGAUUAGAUACCCUGGUAGUCCACGCCGUAAACGGUGGGUACUAGGUGUGGGUUUCCUUCCUUGGGAUCCGUGCCGUAGCUAACGCAUUAAGUACCCCGCCUGGGGAGUACGGCCGCAAGGCUAAAACUCAAAGGAAUUGACGGGGGCCCGCACAAGCGGCGGAGCAUGUGGAUUAAUUCGAUGCAACGCGAAG
RNAcentral lists this ribosomal RNA (875 nucleotides) under Mycobacterium sp. CRIB-60. RNAcentral's name for it is "bacterial SSU rRNA". It matches the Rfam family "Bacterial small subunit ribosomal RNA", at positions 91 to 966 of the family's 1533-position model. The record is from RNAcentral. Lineage: Bacteria; Bacillati; Actinomycetota; Actinomycetes; Mycobacteriales; Mycobacteriaceae.